GCUGGCGGCAGGCCUAACACAUGCAAGUCGAACGGAGUUAUAUUGUAGCUUGCUAUGGUAUAACUUAGUGGCAGACGGGUGAGUAAUGUAUAGGAAUCUACCUAGUAGUACGGAAUAAUUGUUGGAAACGGCAACUAAUACCGUAUACGCCCUACGGGGGAAAAAUUUAUUGCUAUUAGAUGAGCCUAUAUUAGAUUAGCUAGUUGGUGGAGUAAUAGCCUACCAAGGCAAUGAUCUAUAGCUGAUCUGAGAGGAUGAUCAGCCACACUGGAACUGAGAUACGGUCCAGACUCCUACGGGAGGCAGCAGUGGGGAAUAUUGGACAAUGGGCGAAAGCCUGAUCCAGCCAUGCCGCAUGAGUGAAGAAGGCCUUUGGGUUGUAAAGCUCUUUUAGUGAGGAAGAUAAUGACGGUACUCACAGAAGAAGUCCUGGCUAACUCCGUGCCAGCAGCCGCGGUAAUACGGAGAGGGCUAGCGUUAUUCGGAAUUAUUGGGCGUAAAGGGCGCGUAGGCGGAUUAGUAAGUUAAAAGUGAAAUCCCAAGGCUCAACCUUGGAAUUGCUUUUAAAACUGCUAAUCUAGAGAUUGAAAGAGGAUAGAGGAAUUCCUAGUGUAGAGGUGAAAUUCGUAAAUAUUAGGAGGAACACCAGUGGCGAAGGCGUCUAUCUGGUUCAAAUCUGACGCUGAAGCGCGAAGGCGUGGGGAGCAAACAGGAUUAGAUACCCUGGUAGUCCACGCUGUAAACGAUGAAUGUUAAAUAUGGGAAGUUUUACUUUCUGUAUUACACCUAACGCGUUAAACAUUCCCCCUGGGGAC
Molecule: ribosomal RNA, 815 nt
Filed under: uncultured bacterium
Lineage: Bacteria
Description: bacterial SSU rRNA
Rfam family: Bacterial small subunit ribosomal RNA
Source: RNAcentral